RNAcentral lists this transfer RNA (63 nucleotides) under Pyramimonas parkeae. Lineage: Eukaryota; Viridiplantae; Chlorophyta; Pyramimonadophyceae; Pyramimonadales; Pyramimonadaceae. The record is from RNAcentral.
CCAGAUGGCUCAGUUGGUGGAGCAAAAGAGACUCGAACUGCUAGGGUUCUGGGUUAGAAUCCU